RNAcentral lists this non-coding RNA (24 nucleotides) under Arabidopsis thaliana (thale cress). The record is from RNAcentral. Lineage: Eukaryota; Viridiplantae; Streptophyta; Magnoliopsida; Brassicales; Brassicaceae.
GAGGGUUAUGAUUUGUUCUGCCGC